ACCAAUUCAGCUGCUUACUGUCAUUUUUUUCCAUAUUCUCAGUCAUGGCUCUUUGCCCCCAAAGCAUCUCCUUGCUCACAUCACCUCCAGCAGAGAAACAGGCUGUGAAGAUGGGCAAAGUGAAUGAAGGCAGAAACAUUUCUGCAGUCUUUAUUCCUGGUGACACUGGCUGAGUCUGAAAGCACACAGCUGGACGUCAACAGCCCGGGCAGAGUUUGAAGAAGUGGUACUGUGAAAGGAGGGGUGGAUUGGUGGAUGUGUUCUUCCUGUAAACUGAAAACUGAAAGUGCCUGACCACAGACAGCCAGAAGAAAUAAAUCCAGAACUCUCCAGGACAAAUUUUAUGGUUGCUUUUGACAAAAGAAAUUCUUUCAACCUGGCAAUGAAGUCAUUAACUUCCCAGCAUUGAUUCUGAAAUUCUCCUCUCUUUUUUAUCUAUGUUAAACACUAAUUAAACCCACUUAUUGCAAAAACAGCCUCAGGUUCAUAGUGCUAUUUAUUAAACUCCUUAAUGAGAUGAGAGGGAAAAAUAGUUUUAUGCUAUAUCAAUUUUUAAUUAACACUGUCAGUUAUGUGCAGUCAGCCUUGCCAGAGCGAUGCAAAGAGUGAAAAAGAGGGCAAGAAAUCUCACAAAAAAAAGGGACUCAGGGAUUUCCCCACCAAAUGUCAUGUGCAAAACCAUGCACAGGUGAAAGAACUGUGUUAUUAGAAAAAAAAACAAGUUUCAUGUAAAAGUCAAAGUCAUCCCUGGAUGCAAAGUAUAUAUAAGCCUUAUAAAGUAUAUAUAAACCUUAGGGUUUUCUGUAAGUAUGAUAGAAUCAUAGAAUAUCUUGAGUUGGAAGAGACUCACAACGAUCAUUAAGUCCAACUGUUGGAAGACAUCAAGGGAGCUUGUGAACAAGUCUCCUGCAGCAGCAAAGUGCUUGAUUAUUAAAUAUUUUAUUCUCUGCUGAGACAUUGUCCACAUAUAAACAUUGUAUGGGCUCUCCAAAGUGUUAAGCAUUAAAAUGUCCGUCUGUCUUUCAUCACUUAUUUACAAGAGAUUUGAAUUUCUCAUGGUAAGAGACAACAGUGAGCAUCUGCACCUUUAUCUGAGCACAGUGUAUGCUUUUGAUAGCACCACAAAGCUUCUUCCAUAGCUGUACAAUUUCUGAUUUAAAAAAAGAAAUAAAUAAAGCAAGACCGAAGGCCAACAGGCACCUGACAGUGGGAUGUGAGGUAGUGCAUGGAACCGUUUGGAUCAGUCGCCUCACCCCUGUGACAACCGAAACUCUUGGAGGUCAUUGGUGUCUGCCUACAGGCCCAGCAUGGAUGUGCGCAGACCACAUUUUAGUGGCACAGGGAAACUCCAGGCUGCAACUGCGAGAACUCUCCAGGUACCCAGCCUCCAAGCGUGGAACAUCAGCCUUCCUGGCAGCUGGGAAAGGGCAGUGGUAGGGGCACCAAAAUUUUGCCCUAGUCACUGAUCAUUCACAAGUUAGUAAUGCCUUUGUACAGAUCUAUGUACAUUCAUCUCAAUUGCUCAUAUAUCGUUGUUUCUGUGAGUACAUUUAGUCAGGUGACUGCAGGUGAGGUAAGCACAUAUUUACUGACACAGGUUGGAAAACAUUUCCUUUGGAGGCUGUAGUAUUCCUUUCAGUGUGUUACAGUGACCCGGAAGAUGCUGUCAGUGGAGAUAAGAGAGUGGCAUGAUGGCUGCAAGAGACAAGGGUCAAGAAAGUGUGCUCCCUGUGUUGUGGUUUUCUGCUGGCCAGAAAAGAUGUUUUUUCAUCAUAACUAAUUCUGAAAUCCUCUGGAAGACAUUCUCUUACAGGAACUGUGAAGUUAAAAAAAAGAAAGAAGAAGAGUUUUUAUGGAAACAAAUCACACCCAGACCUAUAGUCAAUGUAUGUGGGC
This is a non-coding RNA of Meleagris gallopavo (turkey), 1896 nucleotides long. NCBI's taxonomy places the organism in Eukaryota, Metazoa, Chordata, Aves, Galliformes, Phasianidae. The record is from RefSeq and is a predicted model, not a curated record.